Esox lucius (northern pike) is the source of this 1175-nucleotide long non-coding RNA. The record is from Ensembl. Lineage: Eukaryota; Metazoa; Chordata; Actinopteri; Esociformes; Esocidae.
UUGAAUUUGUUACAUUCGUUUUAUUUACAUAUCAUACGAUAUUUGACUUACAAAUGUUAAUAGACAAGAAAACAUAAAUGUGACUUCAACAUCAUAUAUUGACACCCUUUCAGAGUGAUAUGGAUAAGGUGUUUAUAAUCUAUUCAACAAAGCCUCCAAGACAAUGUGAAUACAUGGUGAAAAUAAUGUACUUUUAUCAAUCACAUACAAAUCUGUAUAUUCUAUGUGAAAAAUAUCUAUUCUAAAAAAUAAAUACUUCCUUAGAUUGUGUUAAUUAACUCAAUUAUAAGUUGGUAACACAUGCAGUUAAAUACACUUGAGAGGCCAUUCCCUUUAUUUUAUUAUGAAAUCCACUAAUUCCUUGUGUCUUAUACUGCCCAAACAUAAUAAUAUAUUUACACACAUAAACAGCCAAUAUACAGACUAUAGUUUACAGUACAGGUUCAAGUGUUUUGUCCCGAGGGUUCGGAGUUAGGUAGCAGCAAAACCAUAGGAGAUUUGAAUUCUAGGAACAUCACAGGCGAUCUCCAGGCGAUGUGCCAAAAUGUAGGACACUGACAACCUAAUGCCUAAUGAUAAUUCAAAUUAUCAUAAAUAUAUUAUUUAAGUAAUACCAUCAGGUCCACAAAGGGUUUUGAAAGUAAAGGCACUAUGGUGGAAUAAUCAGUCAUCAACAUUUUCAUUUCUCCAUUUUCUCUCCUGUUCUCUUCCACUCUUGUCCUUCUCAGGGCUCUAUAAGAAGGUCAGUUUUUCAGAAGUGUAAACGCUGCAGGUUUCUGAGGUAUCGGUGUCCAGGGGAAGCGUGGAGAAGUAUUCUUUGCUCCCUCUCCCUUUGUCUGCCUCUUUCUUGAUCUGGAACUGAUGGCAGUCGUCCGAUGAGAGGAGGCAGUUCGAGGCGCCAUCAACAGAAAACGAGAUCUCACUAUCAACAGGUUCCUAAGACGAAAGAGCAAGCCAAGGAUAAAAAGAAAGAAGAUGAUGUCACUUUAUUGCCCAUUGUGAGACCCUCCAAAAAACCAAUAACAUUAUGUAUUUACCUCUUUACUAAGCGUGUGAGAAGAGGAUGCCUCAACUCUUUCAGACUCCUGUUGUCUCUGUGUUGGCACUGGCACAGUGCAGGGCUUGGGUCCAAGGCCCACUACAAACGGUACACGAUCCACAACUGGAGUGUAACC